ACCAAAAACCAAAACAAUUUAACCAUUCAGUUCACCUUCUCUAAACCCCACUCCUCAAUCUAAUGCACUUCAAUUUUAGGUGCAACACAAUCCUUACCUUCCCCACAUCACAAUACCACUUUCCAAUUCGAAAGCAAAAUCUUUCUGACAAUCCCAGAUUGGGUUUGUGAAAAACGACGGUGACAUGGAGAUCGACAAAGCAGUGAGAGAGUGUGACGAUCGAAGACUUCAGACCAAGUACACCAAUGCUAUCUAUGUCAUUCAGAGAGCUUUGGCUUUGUAUUCUAUUGAGCAGGUUGCCUUCAGUUUCAAUGGCGGAAAGGAUUCAACGGGCUGGCUAUUUCUUGCAUAAAAGGGGGAAUAAUUGUGCCAAUGGGGAUCUCAAAGAUUUUCCAAUUCGAACAAUGUAUUUUGAGAUUCCUUGUGCUUUUGCGGAAAUCAAUUCAUUUACCUAUGAUUCAGCUGCUACCUAUGGUUUGCAAAUUGACACCAUUCGUUCAGAUUUCAAGUCUGGCUUGGAGGCUUUGCUAAAGGAAAAGCAAAUUCGAGCUAUUUUCCUUGGAGUUCGAAUUGGAGAUCCUACUGCGGUUGGCCAAGAACAAUUCUCCCCUAGCUCACCUGGGUGGCCACCUUUUAUGAGAGUGAAUCCCAUUUUAGAUUGGUCAUACAGAGAUGUCUGGGCCUUCCUUUUAACUUGUGAGGUUAAAUAUUGCAGCCUUUAUGAUCAAGGUUAUACUUCAAUUGGGAGCAUACAUGACACAGUUCCCAAUUCAUUAUUAAGAAUUAGCAAUUCUUGCAAUAAAUUCAAACCUGCAUAUUUGCUUGCCGAUGGAAGAUUAGAGAGGGCAGGGAGGGUUAAAAGGUUAUCUUCUACUUGUGCACAACUUCCUGCUGAAAACAAUGGCUUGAGUGGCUGGAAUUUGCAUAAUAACAGCAUGCUCACAGCAUCAGUCAUUGCUGUGGGAGAUGAGAUUUUGUGUGGCAUUGUUGAGGAUCAAUUGGGACCUUCUUUGUCUAGGAAGCUUCAUUCCACUGGUUGGUCUCUUCUACAACUGUCAGUUGUCCACAACAAUAUAGAUUCUGUGGCAGAAGAAGUUGAGCAACAAAAAUCUUCAAGUGAUAUGGUAUUAAUAUAUGGAGGUGUAGGUCCCCUGCAUUCAGAUGUUACCUUAGCAGGUGUUGCAAAAGCAUUUGGUGUUCGUUUGGCUCCUAAUGAGGAAUUUGCAGAGUAUCUCAGGCAUACUGUUGGUGAUAAUUGUACUGUUGACCAGAAUGAGAUGGCUCAACUGCCUGAGGGUAUAACCCAAGUAUUGCAGACUGAAAUUUUUUCUGUACCUUUGAUCAAGUGCCAAAAUGUAAUAAUUCUUUGUGCAACAAAUGUGAAGGAGCUGGAAAAGCAGUGGGACUGUUUGAUGGAGUCAACAAGAUCUAUUGACUUGCUUGCGUCGCUGGAACCAUAUAUAUCCAAGGGUGUAAUGACAAAUCUUUCAGAUGUAUGUGUUAAAUUUAGUUUUGCAAUGCAAUUGACCAUCAACGAUUGUGUAUUGGGCAUGAUUAUAUUCCCUUCAGCUUGAGGAUUAUGAUUUGUUGUGUGCAUUUAUAUACUCUGACAAGUAGCUUUCUAUAUCUUGAACUUCAGUUACAAUGAAUCUGGAGAUUUGUCUUUCAUGAAAAACUUUUGAAAGCAAUCUCAUUUUACUUGUCAUCAUCUUUCUUUAAUUUUUUCCCUUCUAGGGUCAAUUUCAUUUUCAUACUGGGAUAUUUAAACUGCAGGUUGAAAUUGCUCAACCUCUUUUAAAGCUUUGCCUAGAAUUUCCAGACCUGUAUAUUGGAUGUUACCGCAAAUCCAGACAUGAAUGUCUUGUAGUAUGUUUCAAAGGAAAGGACCAAACCCGCAUUGAAUCCGCCAUAAAAGCAUUACACAAGAAGUUUCAACCUGGUGCUUUCAUGGAGAUGGACUAGUAUGAUAUUUGACAAGCCAUGGUCCUCUCUCCUGAAUUCAAACACAAUGGAGAUUUUAGAUGUGUGGUUCAUACCAUUCUCAUGCUUGGAAUCUGCAAAUAAAUGAUGCAUGAUAUGAUUGGGAUGCAGAUGGACUAGUUAAAAAAUCAAGGAAGCUGUCUUAGUAGAAGAAAGAACAAGGGUACAAAUAGAAUGAAGAAGCUUCAAUUCUCUUGCAAAAGAGAAUGGGAUUCACACUACUUUUAACUGCUUCAAGAAACUUGGAUAACAAAUUGAUUAUUAUUCAGUUACUAUCUGAUUAAUGAUUAGCUUAAUUUAUCGCACCGUACC
Abrus precatorius (Indian licorice) is the source of this 2292-nucleotide RNA transcript. It is a transcript of the gene named FAD synthase-like, with no coding region annotated. Lineage: Eukaryota; Viridiplantae; Streptophyta; Magnoliopsida; Fabales; Fabaceae. The record is from RefSeq and is a predicted model, not a curated record. The transcript is spliced from 16 exons.